CAGAUUGCCUGGGCAGAGACGGCAGGGAAGUCUCAGAGAAGCGGAAAUGUUCUAUAUUGUGAUGAGAUGUUGGGUUACGUGGGUGUAUCCACGCGUCAAACUUGUCCGGCUAAGAUUUCUGCAUUUCAGCAGAUGUAUGUUUUCCCUCUAAGAAAGAACCGUAAAUAUAAUGAUGGUGAUAGCUGAGUGCAGGUGCAGAGUGGGUGGAGGGAUGGGUGAUAAAAGAAGGCAGAUUGUUGAUAAAUGUUGAAGCGUGGUGAUGAGCAUGGAGGAGCCCAUGAUAUAUUUUGUUUACUUUGUGUAUGUUAGAGAUUUUCAAAAAAAAAAAAAAAAUCAAACGCUUGAAAUGAAAAAAGUAAAGGCGCAUGGAAAUGAUGCUCUCUUCUCUGUCUUCCUUGCUGGUGGUAGACUUCCUGGCUCUGUCGUCUGUCCUUCCAAGUGACUGGUCGAAGUGUGUGCAAAGAUCCUGAGAUUCAGGCUUCGAGAAGACUUGCCGCUGUGGUUCCACAGCGCUGAUGUAUCAUGGACAUUCAACCCUCAGUCCAACUGCCACUAGCAAACUUGGGUGUGUGUCUCGUUGCUCAAAUCUUGCUCUGGGAUUCGAUCCAGGGACACAAAUAAAGCCACCUUUCCAUCUUUGCCAGAGAGCACACUUCAUUCUGUUUUCCGCUGUGAAGACUCGGCACCCUGCAUGGCCUCCUCACACUUGCCCCAAGUAG
RNAcentral lists this long non-coding RNA (719 nucleotides) under Canis lupus familiaris (dog). RNAcentral describes it as "lncRNA (ENSCAFG00030007510.1)". The record is from RNAcentral. Lineage: Eukaryota; Metazoa; Chordata; Mammalia; Carnivora; Canidae.